GAUGAACGCUGGCGGCGCGCCUAACACAUGCAAGUCGAACGAUUAAAGCACCUUCGGGUGUGUAUAAAGUGGCGAACGGCUGAGUAACACGUGGGCAACCUGCCCCUCUCAUUGGGAUAGCCACGGGAAGCCGUGGAUAAUACCGAAUACUUCGGGACUUCCGCAUGGAAGACUCGAGAAAGCUCCGGCGGAGAGGGAUGGGCCCGCGGCCUGUUAGCUUGUUGGUGGGGUAAUGGCCUACCAAGGCAAUGAUGGGUAGCUGGGUUGAGAGACCGACCAGCCAGAUUGGGACUGAGACACGGCCCAGACUCCUACGGGAGGCAGCAGUGGGGAAUCUUGCACAAUGGGCGAAAGCCUGAUGCAGCGACGCCGCGUGCGGGAUGAAGGCCUUCGGGUUGUAAACCGCUUUCAGCAGGGACGAGGCGAAAGUGACGGUACCUGCAGAAGAAGCCCCGGCUAACUACGUG
RNAcentral lists this ribosomal RNA (467 nucleotides) under uncultured bacterium. Its description in RNAcentral is "partial 16S ribosomal RNA". It matches the Rfam family "Bacterial small subunit ribosomal RNA", at positions 28 to 507 of the family's 1533-position model. The record is from RNAcentral.